RNAcentral lists this long non-coding RNA (1789 nucleotides) under Mytilus galloprovincialis (Mediterranean mussel). Lineage: Eukaryota; Metazoa; Mollusca; Bivalvia; Mytilida; Mytilidae. The record is from RNAcentral.
GUUUACUUAAAUCUUCAACCAAGUCCGAGGCUUUGCCAUGUAAGCAAUCAAGCAGCAAGGAUAGCAGCUGGAAUGAAGAUUAAUAAUUACAUUGAUCUUCAAACAAGUCUGAGGCUUUGUCAUGAAAGAAAUAAUGCAAGUAUAUUUAAGCCAAUUAAUUCUGUACAUUAUCAGGAAAAAUGUGAUAAAGUCUAUAAGGAAUAUCUGUAAGGCAACACACAUUUUUGUUAUUUUGCACAUUUACAACACACAAAAAUAGAUAUUUAUCAGUUUGAUAAAUGUUUUUCUGGUACAGGAAUAAAAUUUUAUACCAUGAAAAGUAAAUCCAAAUAGAAUUUUUACUUCAAGGGAGACUAGUACAAUAAACAGCAAGAAUGUUUCUUUCAUCGGGAGAUAACUCACUAUUACGCAGUCAGAAUACAGAAUAGAUUAAUAAAAAUUUAGGCUGGCAAUUUAACAAAUUUGUCAAAUAUAUAAUUUGUGUCAAUUUUAAUUCCUUUUUAGGUUAUAAAACAGUGCCAAUGUUUUCAUGAAGGGGAGUAAGACUUGUGGUAUAAGAUAUCUUAAAUACAAGUAAGUAUAUAAUUCCUCUAUUUAAACAAAUUUUAUCAUACUGUCAAUAAAAAGAAACAGUCAGCUAUCACUGGGCUUGAAAACUUUUGGUCAGUAGUUUUAAUGUUUAAUUUAUUAGUACCAGUAAUUGCAAAUCAUUUUUGCUAUGUCAACUCCAACUAGAUAGAGAUCUUUGUCUGGUUUUAUUGGUAUUUUCAUAGGCGGAUCCAAAGGGAAUCACUGAAGCUUGACUGGAACCCCCCCCCCUUUAGGUCAGUCAGCGGGGCCCCCUCCCCCUUUAUGAAAAGUUCUGGAUCCGCCACUGGUUUUGUAGAUAAGUUAGUGUACAGGUCAUAUAUUUAACUUCAAAAUGUCAUUCACGCAAAAUCUCCCCCUAAGGUGUCAAGGCUGACAGGGAUUCUCACUCUUUGAGGUUUCAGAUGUUGGAAAGUAUUUCAUAUUUGUUAGUGUUGUUGGGAUGUUGUCACAUUGUGUUCUUUGCAUCUUCUUUUACCUUAAGGAAGCUUGCUUGUCAUUUUUUGGAAUUUUGGUCAGAUUUUCAGAAUCCUCUAGUUUUAUCCAUUUGAAUGCAUUAACAAAUUAAGCCUGGUGACCCCCAUUUUUCUUUUUAUAAUUCAUUUACAUGUAUGAUGAUAAGCUGUCUGUUAAAAUCUUAUAAAAUUUUAAUUACUUUUAAAUAGUUUUUGAGGACUUGUAAAUGAUAAAAAGUCAAGAGAGAACAUUUUCCCGCCAAAAUUUCAAUGGCUAAUAUCUCGAAAACAAGCAAGAUGACCUAUAUAUUUUUUUGCUCUUUUGAUUCCUUUAUUAAUCCCCUAUCAAUAUAUAUGCUAGUGUUUUGAAAAGUUAAUUAUUUUGAAACUGAGAAGCCAACUCCCUUAAAAUGUUGUAUAUCUAUUUUUAUAUAUAAUGUACAUAUAAAUUAGUAUACCAACAGUGAUUCCUUUUUUACUAUUUUCAAUGACUAAGCAUUUUAUUUUUCAGGUUAGCAUUCCAGCUUGUACUUACAGAUUGAUGUUGGAAAUGGCUAUUAGAGUUGACUUUUAAAAAGUAAGAAAGAACUAUUUUAUAGAUUUAUAAAAUUUUCUAUUUAAGAUCAUGUAAAUUCCCAUGUGAUUUGUAUAAUCUUUUUACAAUUUAAUAUUUUCUGGAAUGACCUGUCAAGUUUUAGGAAGGGAAAAAUUAUUAUUAUGAAAAAGUUUCUCUGCUUUAAUUGUUA